UGGAACCAGGUAGCUUAAAAUGACAGAUCUGGGAAAGAAAAGCAGUCAAGAAGCUGUAUUUGAACUUUAUUAUUUGAUUAAUUGAUGGUAUUUGUUUAUCACCUCUCAACCCACUGCUUUGUGUGCCCACCAGCCUUGAUUUGUAGGAUGAUGGAAUAUGCCACAGGACUUGUACAUAUGAGGAAAGACUCCAGGAGCUCGAAGAACGGGAUGGCACUGCCACCCCCAAUUGCCCCCUAAACGUAUCGGAGAUGCCUGCCUCCUCCUGUAGCUCUCUCUGGCACAUUUAGGAACCUGGUAUGGAAACCUGACAGCACUUCUUCCAUUUUCCUACUUUUCUCCAUGAAAAAGCAGAAAAGAAAGAAGGUAUUUAUUCUUCUUUUCAUCUGGGCUACUUCAAGAAGCACAUAAUAAAAGAACAAAGGGUGGUUGUAGUUUGCAAAGAAAAGAAAGGGGGAAGCAAAAAGUAAUUUUAAAAACAUAGACCCUACCUGG
Anolis carolinensis (green anole) is the source of this 495-nucleotide long non-coding RNA. RefSeq lists it as uncharacterized. Lineage: Eukaryota; Metazoa; Chordata; Lepidosauria; Squamata; Anolidae. The transcript is spliced from 3 exons. The record is from RefSeq and is a predicted model, not a curated record.